GACGAACGCUGGCGGCGUGCCUAACACAUGCAAGUCGAACGGUGAAGCGCGUUCCUUUGGGGCGGGUGUGGGUGAGGGGCGAACGGGUGCGUAACACGUGAGUAACCCGCCCCCUUCUGCGUGCUAACAGCAGGAAAGUGCGGCUAAUACGGGAUAUAUUGGGUCUGGCGCAUGAUGGGUCGGGGUAGGUAGUUGUUUCGGUGAGGGAUGGGCUAGGUGCCUAUCAGCUGGUUGGCGGGGUGAAGGCUUAGCAAGGCGGGGACGGGUAGCCGGCCUGGGAGGGUGGCAGGUCUGGCUGGGGCUGAGACACGGCCCAGCCUGCUACGGGAGGCGGCAGUGGCUCAUAUUGGACGAUGCGGUGGAGACUGAUGCAGAGUGGCCGCGUGAGGGAUGGAGCCCUUCGGGGUGUGAACCUAUUGCGCCAGUGAUGUAGACCUGCCUCGUUUGUGAGUGUAUUGACGGUACCUGGAGAAGAAGCUCCGGCUAACUACGUG
Molecule: ribosomal RNA, 494 nt
Filed under: uncultured bacterium
Lineage: Bacteria
Description: partial 16S ribosomal RNA
Rfam family: Bacterial small subunit ribosomal RNA
Source: RNAcentral